GACGAACGCUGGCGGCGUGCCUAAUACAUGCAAGUCGAGCGGACUUGAUGGAGAGCUUGCUCUCCUGAGAGUUAGCGGCGGACGGGUGAGUAACACGUAGGCAACCUGCCUGCAAGACCGGGAUAACCCACGGAAACGUGAGCUAAUACCGGAUAUCUCAUUUCCUCUCCUGGGGAGAUGACGAAAGACGGAGCAAUCUGUCACUUGCGGAUGGGCCUGCGGCGCAUUAGCUAGUUGGUGAGGUAACGGCUCACCAAGGCGACGAUGCGUAGCCGACCUGAGAGGGUGAACGGCCACACUGGGACUGAGACACGGCCCAGACUCCUACGGGAGGCAGCAGUAGGGAAUCUUCCGCAAUGGGCGAAAGCCUGACGGAGCAACGCCGCGUGAGUGAUGAAGGUUUUCGGAUCGUAAAGCUCUGUUGCCAGGGAAGAACGUCCGGUAGAGUAACUGCUACCGGAGUGACGGUACCUGAGAAGAAAGCCCCGGCUAACUACGUGCCAGCAGCCGCCGUAAUAC
RNAcentral lists this ribosomal RNA (519 nucleotides) under uncultured bacterium. Its description in RNAcentral is "bacterial SSU rRNA". It matches the Rfam family "Bacterial small subunit ribosomal RNA", at positions 28 to 526 of the family's 1533-position model. The record is from RNAcentral.